CGAACGCUGGCGGCGUGCUUAACACAUGCAAGUCGAACGGAAAGGCCCUGCUUUUGUGGGGUGCUCGCGUGGCGAACGGGUGAGUAACACGUGAGUAAACUGCCCUUGACUUUGGGAUAACUUCAGGAAACUGGGGCUAAUACCGGAUAGGAGCUCCUGCUGCAUGGUGGGGGUUGGAAAGUUUCGGCGGUUGGGGAUGGACUCGCGGCUUAUCAGCUUGUUGGUGGGGUAGUGGCUUACCAAGGCUUUGACGGGUAGCCGGCCUGAGAGGGUGACCGGCCACAUUGGGACUGAGAUACGGCCCAGACUCCUACGGGAGGCAGCAGUGGGGAAUAUUGCACAAUGGGCGGAAGCCUGAUGCAGCAACGCCGCGUGCGGGAUGACGGCCUUCGGAUUGUAAACCGCUUUCGCCUGUGACGAAGCGUGAGUGACGGUAAUGGGUAAAGAAGCACCGGCUAACUACGUG
Molecule: ribosomal RNA, 466 nt
Filed under: uncultured bacterium
Lineage: Bacteria
Description: partial 16S ribosomal RNA
Rfam family: Bacterial small subunit ribosomal RNA
Source: RNAcentral